UAAUACAUUCAUAUAGCAAAAUUAUGAAAGUGGUACAAAAAUGGCAAUUUCUCUUAUCUAUUGAUGGGUAACGAGCUGUCUCAACAUUUGGUGGCUUAAAACAGCCAUUUUAUUUUGCGCAUGGUUUUGUGGGACAGGAAUUCAGGAAGGGCUCAGUGGGUAAUUUCUGUUUGAUUCACUUGGGGUCCACUAGGGCAACAGGAUCCACUUCCAAGAUGGCGUCUUCACUCACAUAUCUGGAACCUCGGUGCUCCUUGUCCUUCACGCUCCAUUUGGUGCCUUAUUUUCCAGGCCCUCUUCCCUCAGGUAGCCUGGGCUUUCUCACAGCAUGGUGGCAUCAGGGUUGUAGGAUUUCUUACAAGGCACUGACUUGUAGAAAGUUUUCAGGAGCUCCGAAUGAGGAGAUUCAAGGGCUCUGACGACCAACCGUCGGCUGUCCCAGUACGUCACUUCUUCCACAUUCUAAUGGUCAGAGUAGUCACUAAGGCCAGUCCAGGUUCGCGGAAGGAAAAUUAGAUUCCACGUCUCUAUGGGAGGACUAGCCACACUAAGCCACUGCGCUGGUUUAGAACUGUCUGAAGUCCCUCCUAGAGGUCGUGUGUUUGAUUCUGCAUCUCCGUGAUUUGUGAAUCUUGCAUCAUUUAAAUUCAGCCUUACACACUGAUGCCUUUGGUGCCGUCCCAAUAUUUAGGUAGCAAACUCGUAGUGGGUAGAGAUUCAGGCUUAAGCUUCCAGCCUGGCUCUGAGGAGAACUGUCUGGGGCUCCCUGCCCUCUUCCCCAUGGAUGAGACUCUUCCCAGCCUUGGGCAAACACAGCGGGGAGCUGGCACCAUCUCCCGCUAGACACCUCCUCCUUUUCCUCUUGCCCUUACCAUGACUCCCGAGUUAUUCUCAGAAGUAAAAGCUUUCCACGCCUGCUCUUCUCUCCUGCAGCCAGGAGUGCAAAUUUAGAUAUUGGAGCUGCUCAGGCAGAAAAAUGGCCCUGGAAUCAGGGAAGCAGAAACCUGCAGCUGCCACGAAAGGACCGCGGAGAUGAAGACCCGGAAGCUUGCAUGUGUUGAAGCCCGGGGUGUGGGGGACUGUGGUCACGUACUCGAGGGGGCUUCAGAGACCUCUGGGAAGCCCUUUCUGCCCACUCGAAGCCUGCCCCUGUGCCUGACAAUCUUCCAUCGGGAGCGAUGUCAUAAAGAAGAAAUGGAAUUCAGUGGGAAGAGUGGUGGACUCGGGGACAAAAGAUCUGGGUUUGCGCCCUGGCUCUGACCUAACUCACCAGCAUUAUUGGAGGCACGUUAGGUUCCCAUGAAAAGCAGCAUCCCAGUGAAGUCAAAGCCCUGGAACCAUCCUCUUCAUCUGUGUUGCUGCUGAGAGAUCAGAAGUCUACCUCUGGAGAUAGAAUCCUUGUCUGCUGCUGGGAUGGAGGGAAGUGCUAACAUUCCACUAGAAAGUGGGUUCUUCCAUGGAGGGACAGAAUUUGAUUCUUGCUGCUUAUACAAAGUAGGUGUUCACAAGGCACUUGUGAACAGCUAGCUCUGCAGAACAAGUCUCCAUCAUCUCGUUGCAGGCUGCUUACCUGCUGGGAGUGGCAUCCUGGGGCCUUCCUCUCUGGCCACCCUAGACUUUGGUUUUAAUUGCUCCUGAGUCUCCCUUCUUCCUGCCGGCUGGCCCUGCGGUCUGUCACCUACGGGACGGCCAACGUCAGAGCUGGGUGACCUUUCAAAGACACCAGGAUUUGUUUAAUUUUCAGAAUUCACCUCUCUUCAUCCUUUUUAUCAGAGGCAGUUAGGGCCCAGCUGGGGAGGCUAUUUGGCAUUUUUCCCUGUAUUUUGAAACAGGUGGGCUGGGGCCUUCUCAAGUGGAGUCUUUUCAACUGAGAGAACUAGAAAGACAGACAAUGAUAGAAUGGGGUGGGGGUGGAGUAGAAUUACCAAGAGAACCAAACAUACAUUAAGUUAUUUUAACACCUGACUCAUUUUCAUGAAAGUCUUCAUUACUGCAUCUUCUGUCUCCAAGGUUUUCUACACACAUAAUUGCAGCUUGUGUUUACAAAGUCAUUACCACAUGCCAAGCACGUCACAUGUCUCGCUUCAUGUAACCUUCACAGCAGCACCUUGAGGUUCUGUUAUCUCCGUUUUACAGUGCAGGACUCUUCUCAUAAGCAGUCUUUGUCAGCUCCUUGUUAACUGAUGCUGUGUCAGGUCUACUCUGCAGGCUGAGGCUCUCCCUGUCCAGUUCUACUUCCAUCUUUCAGACAUUCGAGGUAUGCUGGUAAGUAUUUAACAACCAGUUCUGAUUUAUCGCGUUUACCAAUUUCUGAGGUGUAAAUACUCCCAUCGUGACCAGUUGAGCUCCCCAUGUGACAUCACUGAACACAGUAGAGAAGUGAUACCAGCUCCAGCUUAGAGGAAUUGCCCUUGAUAGGCCGCUUUCCCUUUUAACACUUUGCAUGUUUUCUGGAAGACUCAACAGAUCUG
This 2471-nucleotide long non-coding RNA is filed under the name Homo sapiens (human). RNAcentral's name for it is "HSALNT0370571". The record is from RNAcentral. Lineage: Eukaryota; Metazoa; Chordata; Mammalia; Primates; Hominidae.